This is a long non-coding RNA of Oreochromis niloticus (Nile tilapia), 542 nucleotides long. RefSeq lists it as uncharacterized. NCBI's taxonomy places the organism in Eukaryota, Metazoa, Chordata, Actinopteri, Cichliformes, Cichlidae. The transcript has 3 exons. The record is from RefSeq and is a predicted model, not a curated record.
UUUAGACUGUAACUGCUGGAACAGACUGAAAUAAUCAGCUCUGGUUUACACAGAUAAUUGCCUGUUACACAAUAAGAAGGACAGCGUUUGUGACAUUGUUUGUGACACUUUGACACAUCGAGGCGCGGAUGAGCCGACAACCCACGCCGAAGACGAGGCUGUGGAGAUCAGGUCCCUGCUGCAGGGAUCCAGGUUACCAGCAACCAAUUAGCUCGUUCAGAUGAAGGGAGGCCUGCAUGCUACAGCAUACUGGGCUAAUGACACUCCGGGUACUCUCCUCUGUGUCAGAUUAAGGUGUGAACGCAGUAAUGGCACUUAGGUGCAGAUCAAAACAACCGUUUGGAGGAGGUGGACUUGGUACGGUUCCAGAUGAACUCCAGAGUGAUUCAUUUAUGGUGUGAAUGUGAUCCGACCCCAAUACGAACCAAGUUUGAGAUAAAAAAUGUCCUAUAGCAACUUUGAAAGUAAGUAGAACGUUACAAAGUUUUAAAUGGUAUGGCUUCCAGUCAUUCAAGCAAACUCCUCAACAUGUAUAACCCCAA